Long non-coding RNA from Acipenser ruthenus (sterlet), 1238 nucleotides. RefSeq lists it as uncharacterized. The record is from RefSeq and is a predicted model, not a curated record. NCBI's taxonomy places the organism in Eukaryota, Metazoa, Chordata, Actinopteri, Acipenseriformes, Acipenseridae. The transcript is spliced from 10 exons.
GAACACCAAACUCAGCUACUGACGGUUGUGUUUUUAUUAUUGUUUCUUUAUAACGGUGAAAGAAGUUCACGGUCGGGGCUGCCUUGGAUUUAAUGAUGCCGUGUUGUCUUAGAUUUGGAAUAACAUUGCUGUUAGCAGUGUUAGUCACUGAAGUUUGGACGCAGAACCCGCCUCUAGGGUCGGUGAGGACAGAAUGUCAAGGGAUCGUUAUGAUGAUGUUGGAUAAGUCUUUUGUUGGAAAGUAUUUUCGUAUCAAUGUGAUUGACAAUAAGGGGGCGCUUGUGUCCCUCUCUCCAAGACUGGCUGCUCAGUGUGGAUAUAGCUUAACUGUUGACUUCUUGGGAAAUGCCAAGGUCCUUGCUUCUGUGCUGAGUUGCUUUGCUCAGAACACAAAUGAGACGUACAAAUCAGUGUCUUCUCAAACAGUGCUAUGACUUCAGCUUCCUCCUAUGUUCAGAGCAUGACAUGCCGCUAUUCUCCAUGGGUGGAGAGGGAGAUUCUGUGUGAAAGAAACUACAUGGAGGUUUCUGUGAGAAGAGGUGUGCCACUUAUUGAGCCAAACUUUGUUCAAGAUGAUCCUGAUUGGUCCCUUGCAUACCCUGAGGCAACUGCUGCUGACAACAGCAUCUGGAAAAUUGUGUUCCAUCUCCCAGCAAAUAGAAAGACAACUAUGACUGUUGCUCAGGCCAUGACAAAUGGCUAUGGCAUAAACACUACACCAACUUGAAUUCUGGUUAGAGCUGCAUACAACUCCACAGAAAGCCAGCCUCAGGUGAUCCAAACUGUACCAAUGGCUGUGCUAAGGUCAACCACCUUUUAUAAGCAAAGAUGGAUGGUCAUGAUGGUGGACACUGCAGUUACAUGUCCUACUGAUGGAACAGCCUUCACAGAACAGAUGAUUACAUGGAAUGUUCCCCGUGUUCUACCUCCUCUUGUUCCGACACAACAAAUUACUACCCUUGAUGUUCAAAUGGGAGUUGAUGGCCGCAAGCUUGACCCUGCAACGAUUCAUAAUGGAGAUUAUAAACUGGAUGUCGGUCCCCAGCUAAUCACUGUAAAAAUUCCUGUGGGAGCUGAUGGUGGAUAUUACAAGAGCCAUGUAUUGGACAACACCUAUGUGAUCUCUUACUCUAUUGAACCAAUGCUGGAGCAUACCUGGCAAGAUGGGCCUGAGAAGACCAAGUACACAGUACUUCAUCCAAUAACCACUCCUUUCAUGCCUCGGCCACCAGUUGUCA